CUAUCACCGGCCGCAGCGAUGUCCCGCCUCUGCCGAUGAUAGGCUGAGCCGACUGUCAUGUAAGAAGCCGGCCGGUGAGCGAGAACAGCGGAGGACAGCGAGGCCGCUUCCUUAGCAACGGGGGAAUGGAGGACGAAGUGUAAAAACCUCAGUGACUGGCUGCAGUGGGUUCAGGACAUCAACAUGGUAUGCAUAGGACCAAGGUGGACUAGAGCACCGCCACUGAAUCAGGCAAGAAACUACCAAAUCCAGUACAGACUGAGGAUCAUCCCAGGAGUCAAUCUCAGUUAGGUCAUAGAGAUAGCAGCUUAUGGGGCCGAAUGUCCACUGUAGUUGUCUUCUCUUCUGGACUAUGUGCUGAAACAUCUGGGA
Molecule: long non-coding RNA, 372 nt
Organism: Hyla sarda
Lineage: Eukaryota; Metazoa; Chordata; Amphibia; Anura; Hylidae
Exons: 3
Source: RefSeq, a predicted model, not a curated record